ACGGGCUCUUCGGAGCUAGUGGCGGACGGGUGAGGAACGCGUGAGAACCUGCCUCAAGGUCGGGGACAACAGUUGGAAACGACUGCUAAUACCGGAUGAGCCGAAUAGGUAAAAGAUUUAUCGCCUAGAGAGGGGCUCGCGUCUGAUUAGCUAGAUGGUGAGGUAAAGGCUUACCAUGGCGACGAUCAGUAGCUGGUCUGAGAGGAUGAGCAGCCACACUGGGACUGAGACACGGCCCAGACUCCUACGGGAGGCAGCAGUGGGGAAUUUUCCGCAAUGGGCGAAAGCCUGACGGAGCAAUACCGCGUGAGGGAGGAAGGCUCUUGGGUUGUAAACCUCAAAACUUAGGGAAGAAAAAAAUGACGGUACCUAAUGUAAGCAUCGGCUAACUCCGUGCCAGCAGCCGCGGUAAUACGGAGGAUGCAAGCGUUAUCCGGAAUCAUUGGGCGUAAAGAGUCCGUAGGUGGCACUUCAAGUCUGCUUUCAAAGACCGAAGCUCAACUUCGGAAAGGGAGUGGAAACUGAAGAGCUAGAGUAUAGUAGGGGUAGAGGGAAUUCCUAGUGUAGCGGUGAAAUGCGUAGAGAUUAGGAAGAACACCAGUGGCGAAGGCGCUCUACUGGGCAUAUACUGACACUGAGGGACGAAAGCUAGGGGAGCGAAAGGGAUUAGAUACCCCUGUAGUCCUAGCGGUAAACGAUGGAUACUAGGCGUAGUGCUGUUAGAAGGACUGUGCCGAAGCUAACGCGUUAAGUAUCCCGCCUGGGGAGUACGCACGCAAGUGUGAAACUCAAAGGAAUUGACGGGGACCCGCACAAGCGGUGGAGUAUGUGGUUUAAUUCGAUGCAACGCGAAGAACCUUACCAAGGCUUGACAUCCUGCGAAUCUUGGAGAAAUCUGAGAGUGCCUAAGGGAACGCAGAGACAGGUGGUGCAUGGCUGUCGUCAGCUCGUGUCGUGAGAUGUUGGGUUAAGUCCCGCAACGAGCGCAACCCUCGUCCUUAGUUGCCAGCAUUAAGUUGGGGACUCUAGGGAGACCGCCGGGGAGAACUCGGAGGAAGGUGGGGAUGACGUCAAGUCAGCAUGCCCCUUACGUCUUGGGCUACACACGUACUACAAUGGUUGGGACAAAGGGGAGCGAAACCGCGAGGUGGAGCGAAUCUCAUCAAACCCAGCCACAGUUCAGAUUGCAGGCUGAAACUCGCCUGCAUGAAGGAGGAAUCGCUAGUAAUCGCAGGUCAGCAUACUGCGGUGAAUCCGUUCCCGGGUCUUGUACACACCGCCCGUCACACCAUGGAAGUUGGUCACGCCCGAAGUCGUUAUUCUAACCCAAGUGGAAGGAGACGCCGAAGGUGGGACUAGUGACUGGGGUGAAGUCGUAACAAGGUAGCCGUACCGGAAGGUGUGGCUGGAUCACCUCCUUUAAGGGAGACUUCGAGAAGAAGUCAGCAAGGAAAUGGGGAGGGCUAGAAAAAUAAAGAAAGAGGUGUUGGGGCUAUUAGCUCAGGUGGUUAGAGCGCACCCCUGAUAAGGGUGAGGUCCCUGGUUCAAGUCCAGGAUGGCCCAUUGGGGGUAUAGCUCAGUUGGUAGAGCGCCUGCUUUGCAAGCAGGAUGUCAGCGGUUCGAGUCCGCUUACCUCCAGAAGAACGAGUUUAGCACGGUGAGGUGUCACUACUGCUGAACAAAAAGUUCAGUGAGAACCUUGAAAACUGCAUAGAAAAAUAGGAAGAU
This 1728-nucleotide ribosomal RNA is filed under the name Cyanobacterium aponinum IklSCC30. RNAcentral's name for it is "bacterial SSU rRNA". The stretch from base 1 to 1421 matches the Rfam family "Bacterial small subunit ribosomal RNA". The record is from RNAcentral. Lineage: Bacteria; Bacillati; Cyanobacteriota; Cyanophyceae; Chroococcales; Geminocystaceae.